CUGGAUGCUGGCUGUGCCUGUGGAGGUAUGCACAGCACUUGACCUCUGAGGAUGCAAUCGCUGGGACACUCGGGAACACUGGCCUCUCUGCACACUGUUCCCCACAGUGAACGCCUAAAGGUCCUCCUGUCACCCUGACGGCCUCCCAUCCUCGCCCAGCAACUCCCAGACUACAGCAAGGACCAGGACAGGCAAGCGAGGCUGCCCACUCCUGGCGUCCCUGUCAGAGUAAGUGGGGCUUGCGGGUCAGGAGACACACAUGUGGCAUAGGUCCCUAAGAGAGGAAAGAGGACCCCAGGCUGGAAGCCUCAGGAGAGGAGACCACAGCAGGUUGGAGAGAACUGGAAGCAAGUGCAGGGCUUUGUAGACAAAUGCUGUCAACAUCUUCCACGCGCUCCUCAGCGCUGGCCUUUGCGUGUGUCAGGCAGCCAGACCUGGGAUUCAGAGGCCAGGGUCCUGCGCCCACUCUUCCGGGGUUGAGUCUGGAGUCCCGGAACCCACAAACCCUCGGGGGUGGGCAGGCCACAAAGGUUGCUGGCUGACUGCUCACAUGGCACCACCACAGAUCUGAAACCAAGCCUUAGAGCUGGAAAGGCAGGGGACAAAAGAUAAAAGAUUGCUUCACUUGUUGCUCAGUAUCGAGGGCACACGUUAGAGUCUUCGUCACAACGUGCUGGUGGGCUCUGUGUUUCUGAUUUUAUAAAAAGCAAGCCAAACACAUUAGGUUGUCAAAUGGUAAAAAUAAAUAAUUCUUUUUCCUUUUGAAAUGUCAAGGGACAACAGGAAGACUGGAGCUAUCUUGGGAUGACAGAUGUAAGCCAUUUUAUCUUAACUGUCAAUCAUCUGAGUAAACCAAUUAAAAGAUAGUGAUUGAGAAAGUAGAUUUUAAAAUGACUCAAUUAUAAGCUGUCUACAAGAAAGUCACUUCAAAUAUAACCAUCUGUGCACAUUAAAAGUAAAAGGAUGGGAAAAGAUAUAUUAGGUAAACAUUAGGCAAAAUAAGGCAAGUUUUUUAAUGGAUCGAGAUCCAAAUGAACAAAAGAAAAUAAAAGCACCAUUUCUCGGCAAAAGUCUCUUUACUAUCUGCCAGGUGAACGAACAGAGGGGAAAGCUCAGGACUGAGAACUGUGUUCUAUCCUGCUGGCAGGUGGGGACAUUCCUGGGUCAGCCACGCUGGAGUCAGAAAAAGCGGAGUGGGGCAACUGUAACCACGACACUUACAGGAGGGAGAGGAAGCUUCCGCACUGCUCUGUGGAACCUAACCUCAGUUUUGCCAGCCCCAGCCCUGGAGGUCAGGAAUUUCUGUUGUUUCCAAGCCACUCGGACCCCAGUCUUCUGGACAAUGCCAGGGUAGACUAAGACCUCUCCCAUUUAUGACAGUUUCAGGACUCGGAAAUACUGUCAAAAAUAUUUCACAGGUCUCAAAGACGGCUGGCUGAUGCCCGACCACCCUCAUCUCCGGCACAGAGGACCCUGUUGACUGUCUAGCCACCAGCGUGGGGCUGCAGCCUCAUUGCCCGAGUCUGGCCCAGCACCAACCCCAAUCACCCCUCGUUGAGGAGAGAGGUGGCCUCAGAGGAGAGGAACGUCACUUUCGGGAACCCAGAGGGCUCACCAAGGCGGGCAUUAGGCCUCAGUCUUCCCAGCCGGUCGCCCCCAGUGGGGCCCUUCAACCUCCCACACCAUGAGCUGUCCCACAGCCCACAGCCAUCAGAUCCCCAUGCCGCAGACCCUGGCUGGAACCAGCCAGAGCCGCAUCCCCCAACACACAGCCGAGUUCAGGGGAACCUGUGCUGCGGAGGCACCGUGUGAAAGCCAGAGACCCCUGGGCCACAGAUGGGCAGAUCCAGUGUGAGCGCACAAGCAGCAGGGCAAGUGAAGCAACACCAAGACUCCAAACGAAGGCAGUGUGUCCCUCAGUACUGGUCCCAGAGAUGACAGAGAGCUCGGGGAGCGUCCCAGGGCUCUCGGAAUGAGGAGCUCAGGAAGACAAAUACAAAGUGCAGCUCAGACCCUCAGCAACAGACUGCAAAACCAGAGGGAAGGGUAUCUGCACUUCAGUGUGAGUCUUUUGAAAUAUUCCGCUUGGAAGGAACGGACGGAGGGGAGAGAAAAGGAAGAAAGACAGACAAAGAGAAAGAAACAAAGAUGCACAACCUUAGAGACUUUGGGGACACCAUUAAAUGCAAACAAGUCACAUUUUUGAGUGCCUCAAAGAGAAAAAAAGGAAUAGAAAAAUCUAUUCAGUAAGAUAUUUGAAAACUUCCUUUCCUGGGGGAAAAGAUGGAUAUCCAGAGGUAGGAGGGCUCUGGGACCCAAACAGAUGUGCUGGGAAUGGGCCUCACCCCAACGUAAACCAUCAAAACCAUAAGAGAAGGAGGAUCCCACAAACAAAAGGAGAAGGACACCAAGUCAUACUUCAGGAAGUGCCAUUAGACCAACAGCAGUUUUCUCAACAGAAACCUUAUAAGCCAGGAGAGAAUGGAGAGACAGAUUUUAAAUCCCAAAGAAAAUAACAGUCAGCCAAGAGUAUGUACCCAUGAAGGCUCUCCUUCAGAAAUGAAGCCCAAAGGAAGACUUCUCAAGCUAAGCAAGCAGAGGGAAUUCCUCACAGCCAAGUCAGACUCUUGAGGGGCCCUGCACCCUGAAGCCCAAGAACAGGGACCGCCAUCAGGAGAACAUGCCACUAGGGGCACAGACGGGCAGCGGGAGUGAAGGGGAAGCUGCCCCAUCUCAGAGAAGAUGCGGAGGAAGUAAAGCUCAAACAGGAAAUUGGACACAGUGAUGACAGCGAGCCCUCAUCUCCCCAUAACACCUCAGAGGCAGGCAGACAAAGUCCAUCAGCGACAGCACAGACUGGCUAAGCCCAGGCCGGCUGCCUGCCAGGGACUCGCCUCACCGUGAGGAUGCCACAGACCCAAGGGAACAGAUGCUGAAGGUGAGCCUUGGAAGUGGGCCCCACACAAGCAAGAGCAGCCGUUCAUUCCUGCAUCCAAUGGAAGAAAGACAGAGGCUGCAGGGCUGGUGAUGAUGAAAGGGCAGCAGGGCACCCACAUGCCGUGUGCACUUAAGGAGGGACAAAAGCCUACAAAGACACAAAGGAGAUCAUUACAUAACUAUCAAGGUCAAUUCAACAAAAUAACCAUCGUAAGUGUACACGCACCCAUUGCCAGAGCGCCCCAUUUCAUAAACCAACACUUAAAUCUAAAUGGGAGGCAGAACCAAAGAUGCUCCCUGCACCCUCACCACCCCGCCGGUCAUCUGGACAGGACACUGGCAUGGGGACAGCAGAUCCCGGGGAAGUGACGCUGACUGGAGACUCCCUCCCACUUCUGGAGAACUGGUGAGGCAUCCUCCAGAACCUUAGCCACCAGCAAGUGUCCAGCAAUAAUCCUCCGCGUUAGCCACCAGCAAGUCUGAACAAACUUUUUAAGAACCCAAAUCAUAUCGUGUAUCUUCUUUUCCACAGUGAAAUAAAACUAGAAGUUAACAACAACAGCCAGAGAAGAACAGAAAGGGGAUGAAGAAAAGGAGUAAGAUAUGCUCUGUGCAUGUCCCAACUCCACACAAGGAAUGCAAACAUUACAGACUACAAACGUGAACUAAUAAAAACUAACAAAGGAAACUACAAACUCAGGAAGACUUAACAUGCUACUGAAUGAACAAACUGAAUCAUGGAACAAAAAAGUCAGUUUAAAAAAAUGCAUGCAACAAAUGAAUAUAUAAACAAAACAUACUAAAACUUACGUGAUACAGCAAAAAAAAAAAGCAUCUCCCUAAGAAGGAAAUUUAUAACAAUAAACAUCUAGUGUGAAAAUACAGAACAGUGCAUCUCAAAGAUAUAUAAAUACCACACCCCAAAUUAGAUGGAAAGAAAUAAUAAAGAUCAGAAAAGGAAAAAAAUAAAAUAUACGGUAUUUGUCAUACUGUCUCUUUCUUCAUCACUAAUGUUAUUCACUUGGGGG
This is a long non-coding RNA of Heterocephalus glaber (naked mole-rat), 3965 nucleotides long. NCBI's taxonomy places the organism in Eukaryota, Metazoa, Chordata, Mammalia, Rodentia, Bathyergidae. The record is from Ensembl.